This is a long non-coding RNA of Myotis brandtii (Brandt's bat), 532 nucleotides long. RefSeq lists it as uncharacterized. The transcript is spliced from 2 exons. The record is from RefSeq and is a predicted model, not a curated record. Lineage: Eukaryota; Metazoa; Chordata; Mammalia; Chiroptera; Vespertilionidae.
AAUAAGUCAAUGUCUCUCUCUAAAAUCAAUAAGUAAAUUUAAAAAAUGUUUAAGCAUAUGUGGUCAAAAGAUUCUAAGAAUUUGCCAAAUCUGUUCAUUUUUUCCAGGUUUCUUUGAAGACCGACACCCCUAAGAGACCAAACAGACCUACAUUUUAACAAAGAUAAGAAGAUGGAGCAUAAUCAUUUUCUUCACUUGAUGUACAAAGUUAGAGCUAAAGAAGCCAGCAACCUGGAUACACCAAUGGGCACAACAAAAGAGCCUCAACAAAAGCUUGCUCCCUCUAGUAAGCGAAGUAUGAAGACUUCAUGGUAGGAGAACUUGUUUCUAGACUGGCUCUGCCAUUAACAAAUUGCAACUUGGUAGAUACUCUCUCCAGCUCUUCAUUAUCAGCCAAUAGCUAAGUCCAGCAUUAUGAUUCCAAGUUGGAUGAAGAAAGGAGUUGUGUUUAAAGCAGUUUACUUUUAUUGCUUAAAAUAGAAAUAAUUGCACACUGGAGAAUAUUUGAAAUUAAAGAAAUGCAUUUAAAAAA